RNAcentral lists this ribosomal RNA (730 nucleotides) under uncultured bacterium. Its description in RNAcentral is "bacterial SSU rRNA". It matches the Rfam family "Bacterial small subunit ribosomal RNA", at positions 790 to 1530 of the family's 1533-position model. The record is from RNAcentral.
GUAGUCCUGGCCGUAAACGAUGGAUGCUGGGUGUUGGAGGACUUAACCCCUCCUGUGCCGAAGCUAACGCGUUAAGCAUCCCGCCUGGGAAGUACGAUCGCAAGAUUAAAACUCAAAGGAAUUGACGGGGACCCGCACAAGCAGCGGAGCGUGUGGUUUAAUUCGAUGCUACACGAAGAACCUUACCCAGGUUUGACAUACUAGUAGUAGUGAACCGAAAGGGGAACGACUCGCAAGAGAGCUAGUACAGGUGUUGCAUGGCUGUCGUCAGCUCGUGUCGUGAGAUGUUCGUUUAAGUACGCUAACGAGCGCAACCCUUAUUGCCAGUUACAAGUGUCUGGCGAGACUGCCGGCCACAAGCCGGAGGAAGGCGAGGAUGACGUCAAGUCAGCAUGGCCUUUAUAUCUGGGGCUACACACACGCUACAAUGGGUGGAUACAAUGGGUCGCCAAACCGUGAGGUGGAGCCAAUCCCACAAAGCCAUCCUCAGUUCAGAUUGCAGGCUGCAACCCGCCUGCAUGAAGUCGGAGUUGCUAGUAAAUGCGCGUCAGCUAUAGCGCAUUGAAUACGUUCCCGGGUCUUGUACACACCGCCCGUCACGUCAUGGGAGUUGGUAACACCUGAAGCCGGCAGCGCAACCGCAAGGAACGCACCGUCAAAGGUGGGGCUGAUGACUGGGACGAAGUCGUAACAAGGUAGCUGUACGGGAACGUGCGGCUGGAUCACCUCC